AUUGAAUGCUGGCGGCAGGCCUAACACAUGCAAGUCGAGCGAGCGGCGGACGGGUGAGUAAUGUAUGGGGAUCUGCCCGAUAGAGGGGGAUAACUAAUGGACACGGUUGCUAAUUCCGCAUACUUUCGGAUGAACCGAAAUGGGAUUAGCUAGUAGGUGGGGUAAAGCCUCACCUAGGCGACGAUCUCUAGCUGGUCUGAGAGGAUGAUCAGCCACACUGGAACUGAGACACGGCCCAGACUCCUACGGGAGGCAGCAGUGGGGAAUAUUGGACAAUGGGCGAAAGCCUGAUGCAGCCAUGCCGCGUGUAUGAAGAAGGCCUUAGGGUUGUAAAGUACUUUCAGCGGGGAGGCGUUACCCGCAGAAGAAGCACCGGCUAACUCCGUGCCAGCAGCCGCGGUAAUUC
RNAcentral lists this ribosomal RNA (406 nucleotides) under uncultured bacterium. RNAcentral's name for it is "partial 16S ribosomal RNA". It matches the Rfam family "Bacterial small subunit ribosomal RNA", at positions 30 to 526 of the family's 1533-position model. The record is from RNAcentral.